AAUAUCUGAUACGUGGGUCAUUGACCCACAAUGAUAUUAAAUUUAUUUUUUAAGGGGGAAGGUCCACCACAGUAGCUUGCUAUUGGGGCCUUCAGGUGUCGCCCAUGUGUUGCACUACUGCAAGGGCCUGGCACGCCCCUCCGAACUAUUCUAAAUAUUUAAUUUUAACAUCAGAUUGGAAUCUUUAACAUCACUAUUAUUGCUUUAUAUUGGGGCCUCUAGGUGUUGCAUAUGUCCUUGCACUGUGCAAGGGCGCCCCAUACAAAUCAUUCAUUAAAUUACCUGGUUCAUGACUGACACAUAUCUGUUGAAUCAUUUAGUGAGAUAUAUUUAAAAAUUGGUAUGCUUAUUGGCCUAAGCUGUAAUGUAGCUUCAUAAUAAGGUGCUUGUCAUGUGCAAUGAUAAACAGAUCUUUAAAAUUGGUAUGCUUAUUGAACUGCACAUAAUCUCUUGUCAUGUAGCUUCAUAAUAAGCUGUAGUGUAGCUUUGUAAUAAGGUGCUUGAAAUAAUAACUGUCAUUAGUAGAAAUUUCUGGUUCUAUACUCUUCAAAUUGGUAAUGUUAGGGACACAUACUUGUUGUACAAGUAAUGACCAAUAUGUGUUGGUCAGUGUCGUGGAAGUAAAUUAUGAGUUUUACUUUGGAUUGAAACCACCAAAGGGAUUUUAGGAAUGGACGAAGCUCGUCAUCUUUAUAACUCACUUGCCUUUGAUACAUUGUGGACACUCAUGAUAUCUUAAGGUAGUGCAUGUGUAUACAUUUCUUACAACUGUGAAGUUGAACGAGAAACCAGAAGGCGAUGAGGACGUGAUUGAAUCAGAAUGCUAUGUGACCCCGUCUUUUGGGAAGAAGGGCUUUGAUUCUGUGAAUCAAGCAGAUUGUUAAUCUACAAUCUUUCUUGAUGUUGCGUCUAUGUUGUUGACUAGUUGCUUGUAUAUGUGACCCUUUGCAGAGAGGAGAUGCAAAAAAAGCUCCAACAGUUGAACAAUACCUGAUCUUGGUUGCUUCAGAUGCUGAAUAUAUUUUAAAAAGCAAGAGUUUUGGAUACUGGAGAGGCGAGUAUUUCUGCCAAUUUUCCCUUCAUACAUAAUCAAUCGCAUAUCAUGUUUUACGUCUGCAUUGUGAGAAUAGCAUAAAUAUUAGUAUGUGAAAAUCACAGAAUAGUCUGUUGUCACAUCAUCAUUUGGAAUUCUGUUUGAGAAGUUAAGAGUGAAGCAAGGAGAGCUAGACAAGAUUUGACUUUUGUAUCCUGAGAUUACUUGGGAGUAGUUACAAAUACUACCGUCUGAAGAUACAGAUAUAGAUAUAGAAUAACUAUAUGAUAUCUGCUUGUUUGGAGCAGUAAAAAAUAAGCAGUACUUUGUUAACAACUAAUGAGCUACUUUGUCCCACAUCGAUAGCUUAAGAAUAAAUUUCCGUUUUUAUAUUGUUCAAAGGUUAGAAAAUGCUUGUCUCUUCGGAGACAUCUGAUAAAAUUGGAACGAUACAGAGAAGAUUAGCAUGGCCCCUGCGCAAGGAUGACACGCACAAAUCGAGAAAUGGUCCAAAUUUUU
This is a long non-coding RNA of Amaranthus tricolor (Joseph's coat), 1552 nucleotides long. RefSeq lists it as uncharacterized. The transcript has 2 exons. The record is from RefSeq and is a predicted model, not a curated record. NCBI's taxonomy places the organism in Eukaryota, Viridiplantae, Streptophyta, Magnoliopsida, Caryophyllales, Amaranthaceae.